RNAcentral lists this ribosomal RNA (481 nucleotides) under uncultured Halonotius sp. RNAcentral's name for it is "bacterial SSU rRNA". It matches the Rfam family "Archaeal small subunit ribosomal RNA", at positions 345 to 824 of the family's 1478-position model. Lineage: Archaea; Methanobacteriati; Methanobacteriota; Halobacteria; Halobacteriales; Haloferacaceae. The record is from RNAcentral.
AACCUUUACACUGCACGAAAGUGCGAUAGGGGAAUCCCAAGUGCGAGGGCAUAUUAGCCCUCGCUUUUGUUGACUCUAAGGCGGUCAACGAAUAAGAGCUGGGCAAGACCGGUGCCAGCCGCCGCGGUAAUACCGGCAGCUCAAGUGAUGUCCCAUAUUAUUGGGCCUAAAGCGUCCGUAGCUGGGCGACCAAGUCUAUCGGGAAAUCCACCUGCCCAACAGGUGGGCGUCCGGUAGAAACUGGCCGGCUUGGAACCGGAAGGCUCAGAGAGUACGUCCGGGGUAGGAGUGAAAUCCCGUAAUCCCGGACGGACUACCGAUGGCGAAAGCACUCUGAGAAGACGGCUUCGACAGUGAGGGACGAAAGCUCGGGUCUCAAACCGGAUUAGAUACCCGGGUAGUCCGAGCCGUAAACAAUGCUCGUUAGGUGUGGCACCCACUACGAGUGGGUGCUGUGCCGCAGGGUAGCCGCUAAACGAGC